This 694-nucleotide ribosomal RNA is filed under the name uncultured bacterium. RNAcentral's name for it is "bacterial SSU rRNA". It matches the Rfam family "Bacterial small subunit ribosomal RNA", at positions 801 to 1500 of the family's 1533-position model. The record is from RNAcentral.
AGUAAACGAUGAAUGUUAGUCGUUGGGUAGCUAGUCUAUUCGGUGAUGCAGCUAAACGCAUUAAACAUUCCGCUUGGGGAGUACGGUCGCAAGAUUAAAAUUCAAAGGAAUAGACGGGGACCCGCACAAGUGGUGGAGCAUGUGGUUUAAUUCGAAGAUACGCGAAGAACCUUACCUAGCCUUGACAUAUAUUAGAACAUUUUAGAGAUAGAAUGGUGCCUUCGGGAGCUUUUAUACAGGUGCUGCACGGCUGUCGUCAGCUCGUGUCGUGAGAUGUUGGGUUAAGUCCCGCAACGAGCGCAACCCUCGUCACUAGUUACUAACGGUUCGGCCGAGGACUCUAGUGAGACUGCCUUCGCAAGGAGGAGGAAGGUGAGGACGACGUCAAGUCAUCAUGGCCCUUACGGCUAGGGCAACACACGUGCUACAAUGGUUGGGACAAUGAGACGCAAUACCGCGAGGUGGAGCAAAUCUAUAAACCCAAUCUCAGUUCGGAUUGUUCUCUGCAACUCGAGAACAUGAAGCUGGAAUCACUAGUAAUCGUAGAUCAGCUAUGCUACGGUGAAUACGUUCCCGGGUCUUGUACUCACCGCCCGUCACACCAUGGGAGUUGAUUUCACCCGAAGCGGGGAAGCUAAACUGGCUACCCUCCACGGUGGAAUUAGCGACUGGGGUGAAGUCGUAACAAGGUAGC